UACGUAGGGUGCAGGCGUUAAUCGGAAUUACUGGGCGUAAAGCGUGCGCAGGCGGUUUCUUAAGUCAGAUGUGAAAGCCCCGGGCUUAACCUGGGAACUGCGUUUGAAACUGGGAGACUUGAGUGUGGCAGAGGGGGGUGGAAUUCCACGUGUAGCAGUGAAAUGCGUAGAUAUGUGGAGGAACACCGAUGGCGAAGGCAGCCCACUGGGUUAACACUGACGCUCAUACACGAAAGCGUGGGGAGCAAACAGG
This 253-nucleotide ribosomal RNA is filed under the name uncultured bacterium. RNAcentral describes it as "partial 16S ribosomal RNA". It matches the Rfam family "Bacterial small subunit ribosomal RNA", at positions 524 to 776 of the family's 1533-position model. The record is from RNAcentral.